UCUUUUAUGAUAUUUUAUUAAAGAAAUUAUCUAAUAAAAAUUUGACACUAAUAAGUAGGGGACCAACAUUAGUAUUUAACAAUAUUAUUUUAUUUUCAUUGACUUCAUAUACAUUAUCACACCAUAUCGUAAGUUUUUUUUUUAGCCUUGUUUUUGGAUCCCAAAAAUUUAAUAAAGGUAAAUCCCGAAAGGUUGAUCUAUAACAAUUAAAGGAUGAAUGUUAAUAAGAAAAAAAAAAGGAUUAUGCAUGAAAUUAUGCAUUUUAAUACAUAAAUAAGUUCGCCUACAGAAACUCAGACGUGAAGUUCCUUGCAAGUUGCGAACAGAUAAUCAAAGUUACAAGAUUAAAGGCAUUGGCAUGUAGAAAUGCUUCAAGAAUAGGCAAUGGCACACCACACACAGUGGAUUCUUUAAUUACAAAUAAAAAAUUCUUGUGACUGAUGUGGAGGUGCCUUUGCCCUGCCCUUGCUAAAUCUUGUGAAGAAGCCCGUUAACUCAAACAAGGAUCUUGUGUACAUGUUAAAUGGGCCCGAGAUCAUCAAAAAGCGAUAAAGAGAGGUGUCACUUGUCAGCAUCACAACAUUGAUCAAAAUGUUUCAUUCGAAGCUUGUGAAAUUGCUGUAGGACAAGAGAAAAUGGCGUGAAAGGGUUGAGAUGAUUUUAAUAUUAGGGUGUAGGGAAGAGAAAAAAAGGCAUUAUUGAUUUCAGU
Molecule: long non-coding RNA, 709 nt
Filed under: Citrus x clementina
Lineage: Eukaryota; Viridiplantae; Streptophyta; Magnoliopsida; Sapindales; Rutaceae
Description: Citrus clementina (C. clementina) long non-coding RNA (CCLE_LNC001139)
Source: RNAcentral